This 523-nucleotide ribosomal RNA is filed under the name uncultured Tetracladium. RNAcentral describes it as "eukaryotic LSU rRNA". The stretch from base 169 to 322 matches the Rfam family "5.8S ribosomal RNA". The record is from RNAcentral. Lineage: Eukaryota; Fungi; Ascomycota.
AUCAUUACCGAGUUCAUGCCCUUACGGGUAGAUCUCCCACCCUUUGUAUACUAUACCUUUGUUGCUUUGGCGGGCCGCCUAGCUACUGGCUUCGGCUGGUAUGUGCCCGCCAGAGGACCCAAAACCCUGAAUUAUUAGUGUCGUCUGAGUAAAAUAUUUAAUAUUUAAAACUUUCAACAACGGAUCUCUUGGCUCUGGCAUCGAUGAAGAACGCAGCGAAAUGCGAUAAGUAAUGUGAAUUGCAGAAUUCAGUGAAUCAUCGAAUCUUUGAACGCACAUUGCGCCCCUUGGUAUUCCGAGGGGCAUGCCUAUUCGAGCGUCAUUAUCACCCCUCAAGCCUAGCUUGGUGUUGAGGCCUGCUGUCAAGGCAGCCUCUAAAAUCAGUGGCAGUGCUGUCAGGCUCUAAGCGUAGUAAAUCUAAUCGCUAUAGACACCUGGUGGACACUCGCCAGAACCCCCCCAUUUUUUAAUGAUUGACCUCGGAUUAGGUAGGGAUACCCGCUGAACUUAAGCAUAUCAAUAA